RNAcentral lists this RNase P RNA (395 nucleotides) under Anaerolineales bacterium. Its description in RNAcentral is "RNase P RNA component class A". It matches the Rfam family "Bacterial RNase P class A". Rfam says of the family: Ribonuclease P (RNase P) is a ubiquitous endoribonuclease, found in archaea, bacteria and eukarya as well as chloroplasts and mitochondria. Its best characterised activity is the generation of mature 5'-ends of tRNAs by cleaving the 5'-leader elements of precursor-tRNAs. Lineage: Bacteria; Bacillati; Chloroflexota; Anaerolineae; Anaerolineales. The record is from RNAcentral.
CAAGCUGGCCGGGUGAUCGCGGUGGCCGAAUGGAGACGUUCGGUUGCUGAGGAAAGUCCGCACUCCACAGAGCGCGGUGCCGGCUAACAGCCGGGCGGGGCAACCCGACGGCAAGUGCAACAGAGAAGAGAUUGCCCGUCUUUGACGAGUGAGGGUGAAACGGUAGUGUAAGAGACUACCGGCGAUGGCAGCGAUGUCAUCGGCCAGGCAAACCCUACCGGGAGCAAGACCAAGCAGGGUGGAUGGUUAAACUGCAAUUUGCAGUUUAGCCUACGGAGCGGCCCGUUCCGUCUGACAUCCGGGUAGGUCGCACGAGCAUAUCAGUAAUGAUGUGCCUAGAUAGAUGAUCACCACCCUUCGGGGAACAGAAUGCGGCUUAUAGGCUGGCUUGACAU